Non-coding RNA from Acanthosepion pharaonis, 113 nucleotides. NCBI's taxonomy places the organism in Eukaryota, Metazoa, Mollusca, Cephalopoda, Sepiida, Sepiidae. The record is from the annotation of a GenBank genome assembly.
UAUGGUCAUAUCACAUUGAAGUACCAGUUCCUAUAUGAUCACUGAAGUCAAGCAACAUUGAACCUGGUCAGUACUUAGAUGGAUGGCUGCUUAGGAAUAGCAGGUGCUGUAAG